Molecule: ribosomal RNA, 699 nt
Filed under: Salmonella enterica subsp. enterica serovar Oranienburg
Lineage: Bacteria; Pseudomonadati; Pseudomonadota; Gammaproteobacteria; Enterobacterales; Enterobacteriaceae
Also listed under: 2 other names
Description: partial 23S ribosomal RNA
Rfam family: Bacterial large subunit ribosomal RNA
Source: RNAcentral
CUAUAGCUUGACACUGAACAUUGAGCCUUGAUGUGUAGGAUAGGUGGGAGGCUUUGAAGUGUGGACGCCAGUCUGCAUGGAGCCGACCUUGAAAUACCACCCUUUAAUGUUUGAUGUUCUAACGUGGACCCGUAAUCCGGGUUGCGGACAGUGUCUGGUGGGUAGUUUGACUGGGGCGGUCUCCUCCUAAAGAGUAACGGAGGAGCACGAAGGUUGGCUAAUCCUGGUCGGACAUCAGGAGGUUAGUGCAAUGGCAUAAGCCAGCUUGACUGCGAGCGUGACGGCGCGAGCAGGUGCGAAAGCAGGUCAUAGUGAUCCGGUGGUUCUGAAUGGAAGGGCCAUCGCUCAACGGAUAAAAGGUACUCCGGGGAUAACAGGCUGAUACCGCCCAAGAGUUCAUAUCGACGGCGGUGUUUGGCACCUCGAUGUCGGCUCAUCACAUCCUGGGGCUGAAGUAGGUCCCAAGGGUAUGGCUGUUCGCCAUUUAAAGUGGUACGCGAGCUGGGUUUAGAACGUCGUGAGACAGUUCGGUCCCUAUCUGCCGUGGGCGCUGGAGAACUGAGGGGGGCUGCUCCUAGUACGAGAGGACCGGAGUGGACGCAUCACUGGUGUUCGGGUUGUCAUGCCAAUGGCACUGCCCGGUAGCUAAAUGCGGAAGAGAUAAGUGCUGAAAGCAUCUAAGCACGAAACUUGCCCCGA